RNAcentral lists this ribosomal RNA (465 nucleotides) under uncultured bacterium. Its description in RNAcentral is "partial 16S ribosomal RNA". It matches the Rfam family "Bacterial small subunit ribosomal RNA", at positions 28 to 507 of the family's 1533-position model. The record is from RNAcentral.
GACGAACGCUGGCGGCGUGCUUAACACAUGCAAGUCGAACGGAAAGGCCCUGCUUGCAGGGUCCUCGAGUGGCGAACGGGUGAGUAACACGUGGGUGAUCUGCCCUGCACUUCGGGAUAAGCCUGGGAAACUGGGUCUAAUACCGGAUAGGAGCCAUUUUUAGUGUGAUGGUUGGAAAGUUUUUUCGGUGUAGGAUGAGCUCGCGGCCUAUCAGCUUGUUGGUGGGGUAAUGGCCUACCAAGGCGGCGACGGGUAGCCGGCCUGAGAGGGUGGACGGCCACAUUGGGACUGAGAUACGGCCCAGACUCCGACGGGAGGCAGCAGUGGGGAAGAUUGCACAAUGGGCGCAAGCCUGAUGCAGCGACGCCGCGGGGGGGAUGACGGCCUUCGGGUUGUAAACUCCUUUCGCUAGGGACGAAGCUUUUUGUGACGGUACCUAGAUAAGAAGCACCGGCUAACUACGUG